Molecule: ribosomal RNA, 234 nt
Filed under: uncultured bacterium
Lineage: Bacteria
Description: partial 16S ribosomal RNA
Rfam family: Bacterial small subunit ribosomal RNA
Source: RNAcentral
UGAGGAACAUGACCUUCGGCGGGGGAUAGCCGGCCCAACGGCCGGGUAAUACCGCGUACGACCUUUUGGGGACAUCCCUGAAUGGUGAAAGCAGCAAUGCGCCGAUGGAGUGCCUCGCGGCCUAUCAGCUAGUUGGCGAGGUAACGGCUCACCAAGGCGACGACGGGUAGCUGGUCUGAGAGGAUGGCCAGCCACAUUGGGACUGAGACACGGCCCAGACUCCUACGGGAGCAG